UACAGAGGUCUCAAGCGUUGUUCGGAUUCAUUGGGCGUAAAGGGUGCGUAGGCGGCGCGGUAAGUCGGGUGUGAAAUCUCCGGGCUUAACUCGGAACGGUCAAGUGAUACUGUCGUGCUAGAGUACAGAAGGGGCAACUGGAAUUCUCGGUGUAGCGGUGAAAUGCGUAGAUAUCGAGAGGAACACCUGCGGCGAAGGCGGGUUGCUGGGCUGAUACUGACGCUGAGGAGCGAAAGCGUGGGGAGCGAACAGG
RNAcentral lists this ribosomal RNA (253 nucleotides) under uncultured bacterium. RNAcentral describes it as "partial 16S ribosomal RNA". It matches the Rfam family "Bacterial small subunit ribosomal RNA", at positions 524 to 776 of the family's 1533-position model. The record is from RNAcentral.